UACAGAGGGUGCGAGCGUUAAUCGGAUUUACUGGGCGUAAAGCGUGCGUAGGCGGCUUUUUAAGUCGGAUGUGAAAUCCCCGAGCUUAACUUGGGAAUUGCAUUCGAUACUGGGAAGCUAGAGUACAGGAGAGGAAGGUAGAAUUCCCGGUGUAGCGGUGAAAUGCGUAGAGAUCGGGAGGAAUACCAGUGGCGAAGGCGGCCAUCUGGCCUAAUACUGACGCUGAGGUACGAAAGCAUGGGGAGCAAACAGG
This 253-nucleotide unclassified non-coding RNA is filed under the name uncultured Moraxellaceae bacterium. RNAcentral describes it as "contains 16S-23S intergenic spacer region". It matches the Rfam family "Bacterial small subunit ribosomal RNA", at positions 524 to 776 of the family's 1533-position model. Lineage: Bacteria; Pseudomonadati; Pseudomonadota; Gammaproteobacteria; Moraxellales; Moraxellaceae. The record is from RNAcentral.